Molecule: ribosomal RNA, 478 nt
Filed under: uncultured bacterium
Lineage: Bacteria
Description: partial 16S ribosomal RNA
Rfam family: Bacterial small subunit ribosomal RNA
Source: RNAcentral
GAUGAACGCUGGCGGCGUGCCUAACACAUGCAAGUCGAACGGAGUCCAGCCUUUAAGACCUUCGGGUCAAAGAGGGGAAGACUGAGUGGCGGACGGGUGAGUAACACGUGGGCAACCUGGCUCAUAGAGGGGGAUAACAGAGAGAAAUUUCUGCUAAUACCGCAUAAGCACACACUGCCGCCUGGCAGAGGGUGAAAAGAGAAUCGCUAUGAGAUGGACCCGCGUCUGAUUAGCCAGUUGGCAGGGUAAGAGCCUACCAAAGCGACGAUCAGUAGCCGAACUGAGAGGAUGAACGGCCACAUUGGGACUGAGACACGGCCCAAGCUCCUACGGGAGGCAGCAGUGGGGGAUAUUGCACAAUGGGGGGAACCCUGAUGCAGCGACGCCGCGUGAGUGAAGAAGUAUUUCGGUAUGUAAAGCUCUAUCAGCAGGGAAGAUAAUGACAGUACCUGAAGAAGAAGCCCCGGCUAACUACGUG